CUUACCUUUUUUGAUGAGUUUCCAAGUAAACACCAGAAUGCCUCACCAGAAGCCAAGCAUUCACUAGAGCUUAACAUUUCUUUAUAAUUUUUCUCUGGGCUAUUGUUUAUAUAUAAUGACAUGCAUAAAUCAUAAAUGCAUAUUUGUUAUUUGCUGAGUUUUGACAAAUGCAUGAACCUUUUGUAUUCUCCAUUGUCCAUUAUUCCUGUGUGUCCAUGCAUACCCACUGUUUGGUUUCCACUUAUAAAUGAGAACCUGCAGUAUUUGACUUUCUGCUUCUGAAGUAAUUUCACUUAGGAGAUAACUUAGGAAAUGGCCUCCAGUACCACCCAUGUUCCUUUCUGUUGGCUUGUCAGGUCCUGGGUUUCUUUCACUGUGGCUCCCUGAAAAGCAGAGCAGCUUUGAUGAGAUCCUGUUCACAGUGCCAAAACUGUAGGGGUGAAGGGCUUCCCCUUAGCCCUCUGAAGGUUUCCUCUCCUUGCUUACUGUCACCACCUUUCCUCUUGCUCCUCCCUUCAUCCAGGUGCUGUGUUCUUGAUCACCUUGUAGACAGUCAUUUCAAGCUUCCAGCUUUCUCCAGCCAAUCCAUUGACCCCUUUCCUAAUGGCACUUCUAAUUGCAUGAUGUUCAGUGGAUUUUUUUUCUUCAGGCCAUACUCUCAAUUGCUUGUGUCUGUCAGAUCCAUUCAUUUUCACUAUUUCCCUACUAAUAAAAUAUUGGAAAUGUGGCAGAGGGUUUCAUGACAACUCUCAGGAUUUCCUGACCUGAACAGUGUGCAUCAUACCCAAUAUUAUUCCUCAUCCCCUCCAAGUCGGCUGCUUUUGACUCUCCAGUGUCCAUUAUACCGUUCUGUAUGCCUUCGCAUACCCAUAGCUUAGCUCCCACUUAAAAGUGAGAACAUAUGGUGUUUGGUUUUCUAUUUCUGAGUUACUUCACUUAGAAUAAUGGUCUCCAGCUCCAUCCAAGUUCAUUUAUAAUACUGAAUCCAUUAAUUCCCAGGUUUCUGCUUUCUCAGCUUCUUGAAGAUAGAUUCUAA
RNAcentral lists this long non-coding RNA (1036 nucleotides) under Homo sapiens (human). RNAcentral's name for it is "HSALNT0190360". The record is from RNAcentral. Lineage: Eukaryota; Metazoa; Chordata; Mammalia; Primates; Hominidae.